This 372-nucleotide unclassified non-coding RNA is filed under the name uncultured Pseudomonadota bacterium. Its description in RNAcentral is "uncultured proteobacterium contains 16S-23S intergenic spacer region". Lineage: Bacteria; Pseudomonadati; Pseudomonadota. The record is from RNAcentral.
UCCGGUUUGUCACCGGCAGUCUCAUUAGAGUGCCCUUUCGUAGCAACUAAUGACAAGGGUUGCGCUCGUUGCGGGACUUAACCCAACAUCUCACGACACGAGCUGACGACAGCCAUGCAGCACCUGUGUAAUGGUUCCCUUUCGGGCACUCCCUGAUCUCUCCGGGAUUCCAUCCAUGUCAAGGGUAGGUAAGGUUUUUCGCGUUGCAUCGAAUUAAACCACAUGCUCCACCGCUUGUGCGGGCCCCCGUCAAUUUCUUUGAGUUUUAACCUUGCGGCCGUACUCCCCAGGCGGAGAGCUUAAUGCGUUAGCUGCGUCACCGACACGCAUGCGUGCCGACAACUAGCUCUCAUCGUUUACAGCGUGGACUAC